AUUGAACGCUGGCGGCAUGCUUUACACAUGCAAGUCGAACGGUAACAGGUUAAGCUGACGAGUGGCGAACGGGUGAGUAAUGCAUCGGAACGUGCCCGGUCGUGGGGGAUAACACUUCGAAAGAAGUGCUAAUACCGCAUACGAUCUAAGGAUGAAAGCGGGGGACCGUAAGGCCUCGCGCGAUUGGAGCGGCCGAUGUCAGAUUAGGUAGUUGGUGGGGUAAAGGCUCACCAAGCCGACGAUCUGUAGCUGGUCUGAGAGGACGACCAGCCACACUGGGACUGAGACACGGCCCAGACUCCUACGGGAGGCAGCAGUGGGGAAUUUUGGACAAUGGGCGCAAGCCUGAUCCAGCAAUGCCGCGUGCAGGAAGAAGGCCUUCGGGUUGUAAACUGCUUUUGUACGGAGCGAAAAGGCUCUCUCUAAUACAGGGGGCUGAUGACGGUACCGUAAGAAUAAGCACCGGCUAACUACGUGCCAGUAGCCGCGGUAA
This 493-nucleotide ribosomal RNA is filed under the name uncultured bacterium. RNAcentral's name for it is "partial 16S ribosomal RNA". It matches the Rfam family "Bacterial small subunit ribosomal RNA", at positions 30 to 523 of the family's 1533-position model. The record is from RNAcentral.